Long non-coding RNA from Octodon degus (degu), 432 nucleotides. RefSeq lists it as uncharacterized. The transcript is spliced from 3 exons. Lineage: Eukaryota; Metazoa; Chordata; Mammalia; Rodentia; Octodontidae. The record is from RefSeq and is a predicted model, not a curated record.
CUGUGUGACCUUGCACAAAUGACUCAGCCUUUCUGAACCUACAACAAAACCAAGAGAACAAGUGCUCUGUGCACAGCAAGCUAACGCACGGGGCCCACGCCCCAGCCAGGUCUGGUUGUGCCUCCUGCAGCCUCAGCAUUGGGUGACCCCAGGAGGGGAAGAUGGAAGCGCUGAUCACCUGCAAUCUCCUUUCUCCCACUGGACAGGCGGGCAGCAGGCUGGAGUUCUGGCAGGAGACGGGAAGACCCCUCAGGACCGUGGAGCCGAGUUCAGGCCAGGGACCAGGGCUGGAUGGCCUUCUCAGCCCUGGUGUCUUUCAACGUCCACAACUUCAUGGUUUCUCUAUCUUUACCGCCCUGCGAGCUGCAGCCCUCCCUCAGCUACCGACUUCCUAGCUCCCAGAGGCAGUCCUCUUCACUGAAAUGAAAUAAA